CUCUCGUCGGCGUUCCUGGUUGCUCCGGCGUUCGCUCCGUCGCAUCGCAUUGUUGCAGCUUCGGGUGCUCCUUGCUCGCCACCGUCGCCGACGAAGCAAAGGUUCUGCGAACAUCAGAGUGGGCGUCGCUCAAUACGACGCGCCUUUCACCGUCCCCCAUUGUAUCGCCCGGUACACUAGCUAGGUGCCCAAGCAAAAGGUGCAAGAUCAGGUGAUUCCAAAUGCGGGACAUUCUGUUAAUGAACCUGGCAUAGCUGCAGGGCUUGUGGCUGCAAAUGAGAAGCUCAAGAAUAUCGUGAAGAACCGAGGAUAGUGAAUUUUGUGUAAGAUGCGCACGACAGGGUAUAAGCAAUUUUCUCACCUACCUCACUGGAACAAUCUUGAUGUUGAUGCAUCCAGAAAUGGAAGGUGGUUGCAAAUAAAUUGAAGAUGGUUUGGUGCAAUGGCUAGUAGACUUUUAACAUGCUUCCUUGUGUUUGACAUUUUAUGCUUUCAUAUGUGCCAAAUGCCCCACCAAAGCCUGAUUUAUUUUGCACAUAAAAUUUAAAAUCGCUAGUUGACUUGGAAUGUCAAGGAUAUGCACAAUUUGCUAGCAAAUGAGCAGUAGAGUAGCAUAACUUGAACCUGAUGGUCACAAAGUUUUUUGCAAAGAGGUCCGUGGAGUGUUUGCUGCACAAAUAGUUUGUUAAGCUCAUUUUUCAGUCACCUGGAA
This is a long non-coding RNA of Syzygium oleosum, 712 nucleotides long. RefSeq lists it as uncharacterized. The transcript has 3 exons. The record is from RefSeq and is a predicted model, not a curated record. Lineage: Eukaryota; Viridiplantae; Streptophyta; Magnoliopsida; Myrtales; Myrtaceae.